AAUGAACGUUGGCGGCGUGGAUUAGGCAUGCAAGUCGAGCGAGAACCCCGCAAGGGGGGACAGCGGCAAACGGGGUAGUAAUGUGUCGGAACGUGCCCAGAGGACGGGGAUAGCGGCGGGAAACUGCCGGUAAUACCCGAUGAUCUCGGACUCUGUGAUGGAGACCGAGCAAAGGUGUGAUUCCGCCUUUGGAGCGGCCGACAUGGUAUUAGCUAGUUGGCGGGGUAACGGCCCACCAAGGCUGUGAUGCCUAGGGGAUGUGAGAGCAUGAUCCCCACCAUUGGGACUGAGACACUGCCCAGACACCUACGGGUGGCUGCAGUCGAGAAUCUUCGUCAAUGGGCGAAAGCCUGAACGAGCGACGCCGCGUGCGGGAUGAAGGCCUUUGGGUUGUAAACCGCUGUCGAGGGGGAUGAAGGUCUGAAGGUACUCCUUCAGAUUUGACAGAGCCCUGGAGGAAGCACGGGCUAAGUUCGUGCCAGCCGCCGCCGUAACAC
RNAcentral lists this ribosomal RNA (497 nucleotides) under uncultured bacterium. RNAcentral describes it as "bacterial SSU rRNA". It matches the Rfam family "Bacterial small subunit ribosomal RNA", at positions 28 to 526 of the family's 1533-position model. The record is from RNAcentral.